UACAAGGUUGAUAGGUCAGAGGUGUAAGUGCGGCAACGUAUUUAGCUGACUGAUACUAAUAGGUCGAGGGCUUGACCAA
RNAcentral lists this ribosomal RNA (79 nucleotides) under Clostridium saccharobutylicum. RNAcentral describes it as "partial 23S ribosomal RNA". It matches the Rfam family "Bacterial large subunit ribosomal RNA", at positions 2846 to 2925 of the family's 2925-position model. Lineage: Bacteria; Bacillati; Bacillota; Clostridia; Eubacteriales; Clostridiaceae. The record is from RNAcentral.